RNAcentral lists this ribosomal RNA (196 nucleotides) under uncultured Vibrio sp. RNAcentral describes it as "partial 16S ribosomal RNA". It matches the Rfam family "Bacterial small subunit ribosomal RNA", at positions 335 to 523 of the family's 1533-position model. The record is from RNAcentral. Lineage: Bacteria; Pseudomonadati; Pseudomonadota; Gammaproteobacteria; Vibrionales; Vibrionaceae.
ACCCCUACGGGGGGCAGCAGUGGGGAAUAUUGCACAAUGGGCGCAAGCCUGAUGCAGCCAUGCCGCGUGUAUGAAGAAGGCCUUCGGGUUGUAAAGUACUUUCAGUCGUGAGGAAGGUAGUGUGUUUAAUAGAUGCAUUAUUUGACGUUAGCGACAGAAGAAGCACCGGCUAACUCCGUGCCAGCAGCCGCGGUAA